Molecule: unclassified non-coding RNA, 378 nt
Filed under: plant metagenome
Description: partial contains 5.8S ribosomal RNA, internal transcribed spacer 2, and large subunit ribosomal RNA
Rfam family: 5.8S ribosomal RNA (bases 1-105)
Source: RNAcentral
GAAAUGCGAUAAGUAAUGUGAAUUGCAGAAUUCAGUGAAUCAUCGAAUCUUUGAACGCACCUUGCGCUCCUUGGUAUUCCUUGGAGCAUGCCUGUUUGAGUAUCAUGAAAUCUUCAAAGUAAAUCUUUUGUUAACUCAAUUGGUUUCUACUUUGGUAUUGGAGGUCUUUGCAGCUUCACACCUGCUCCUCUUUGUUCAUUAGCUGGAUCUCAGUGUUAUGCUUGGUUCCACUCGGCGUGAUAAGUUAUCUAUCGCUGAGGACACUGUAAAAGGUGGCCAAGGUAAAUGCAGAUGAACCGCUUCUAAUAGUCCAUUGACUUGGACAAUACUUUUAUGAUCUGAUCUCAAAUCAGGUAGGGCUACCCGCUGAACUUAAGC